GACGGAGGGGGCUAGCGUUGUUCGGAAUUACUGGGCGUAAAGAGCGCGUAGGCGGCUCGGCAAGUUGGAUGUGAAAGCCCGGGGCUUAACCUCGGAACUGCAUUCAAAACUGCUGGGCUAGAGUAUGGUAGGGGAUGAUGGAAUUCCUAGUGUAGAGGUGAAAUUCUUAGAUAUUAGGAGGAACACCGGUGGCGAAGGCGGUCAUCUGGGCCAUUACUGACGCUGAGGCGCGAAAGCGUGGGGAGCAAACAGGAUUAGAUACCCUGGUAGUCCACGCCCUAAACGAUGAGUGCUAGAUAUCGGGGACAUAGUCUUCGGUUUCGCAGCUAACGCAUUAAGCACUCCGCCUGGGGAGUACGGUCGCAAGAUUA
Molecule: ribosomal RNA, 371 nt
Filed under: uncultured prokaryote
Description: bacterial SSU rRNA
Rfam family: Bacterial small subunit ribosomal RNA
Source: RNAcentral